GCUGGGUGCAGUGGCUCACACCUGUAAUCUCAGUGGCUCCGGAGGCUGAGGCAGGAGGAUCAUGAGAUCAGACUGAGCCUCAGCAAAAGUGAGACAGUAAGCAACUCAGUGAGACCCUGUCUCUA
Molecule: small RNA, 125 nt
Filed under: Marmota monax (woodchuck)
Lineage: Eukaryota; Metazoa; Chordata; Mammalia; Rodentia; Sciuridae
Source: RNAcentral